UAAAAAUGGUUGACCAAGCAAGCAAAUUAGGCUCAAUUCACCAUGAGUUAAGUCAACUCGACUGAGGCUUGUCCAACUUAGGACUAAGCCACACCUACAAACGAUUUUCCUAGUGAAUUGGCUUGAAAUCUUGUUGAGUUAUUGUUAGAACUUUGACUCUCAUGGCUUCUGCUAUGAAAAGCAAAAUUUCAAUAGGCUCGAAUAGCUUAAAAUUCGGGUCUAAAGCAUUUCUGGGUCUGUUUGCAGCCCCUUCUUAUAUUGCAUACUUCCUAAUGGUUUUUCUCUAUAGGAUGGUUCUGUGAUAUUUUCCUCUUGCUUAUUUUUAAUCUCUGUGGUUUUACUCAGGCUAUCUUUCCUAUUUGAUUCUUUAGUGUACAUAUUCUAAGUACUGCUAUGCUGAAAUUUUGUAUAAGUUGUGCUGAGUUUUGGGUGUAAUUCUUAAUAAUUUAACCACAUUUAAACUCAAGUGAAUGAUUUUUUUGCAUUGUGUUUUUUAUUUUUUUUAGUAAAUUAGUUCAAGAAUCAGUUACAAAAUGAAGAAGGCAAGGUAGUAACUCCCAACUAUGUUCUUAUUUAUGAAUACAAUGAAGGAGAUUGAAUUCUUGUCGGCAAUGUGCCAUGGGAGUAUAAGAUUUGAUUGUAAGAACUCCUGGCCAGAAAUAGAGAAUACCUUCGUGGGCAGCCACCUCAGGCUAGUAUGUCGUACCGCGCCUUGUGUUAUAAUUAAGGUCUUUUGCAUGGGAACUUCUUCUCUAGUUUUAUUGUAGGUAAGAUCACCUUUCUUGAUAUUUUGCAUUUUUUCUGGCAACUCUGAUAAGGUUCAUUAUGUAUUUUGCAUUUUUUCUAGCAGCUCACAUGUUCUUGGUUGAUGAGACUAGAUAGCAGAAAAUUAUAAGUAGGAGAUUUGCAGGAAAGCUUUAAAGUCUAAAGAUUAAAAACUAACAAAAUUAAGGCAGAGAAUGGAUUAUGAAAGAAUACUAGAAGGAAAGCUCUCUUUACAAAUAUCAUGUGGAGAAACUUACUUGUUCAGGCAUGUAUCUAUUUUCUCUUAUACCUUAUGAAAACCUAAGAGAAUUAAAUGAAUGUAAUUAUAUUAAAAUUAGAGAUUGAUUGAGA
Long non-coding RNA from Magnolia sinica, 1116 nucleotides. RefSeq lists it as uncharacterized. The transcript is spliced from 3 exons. NCBI's taxonomy places the organism in Eukaryota, Viridiplantae, Streptophyta, Magnoliopsida, Magnoliales, Magnoliaceae. The record is from RefSeq and is a predicted model, not a curated record.